This 325-nucleotide long non-coding RNA is filed under the name Capra hircus (goat). RNAcentral's name for it is "lncRNA (ENSCHIG00000002661.1)". Lineage: Eukaryota; Metazoa; Chordata; Mammalia; Artiodactyla; Bovidae. The record is from RNAcentral.
AGCUUGAAUAAACUCCAAUAGAUAGUGAAGGACAAGGAAUCCUGGCAUGCUGCAGUCCACGGGGUGGCAAAGAGUUGGACAUGACUAUGCUGAACAACAAAUGUGGAGAGAAAAGGACCAAUUCUUGAAUGUUUUGCAAAGAUUUUAUGAAGACCCUUCCUGGUAUCUGGGUGAGAGAGAACUUCAGGACUGUCCCCUGCCUCCACCCCCCCAUUUAUAUCAUAUGAGAACAUAAUGGGAAGUGGCUCUAAAAACUACGAAGAGUGACGUCACCAGACAUUAGAUCUGCUGGUACCUUGACUUUGGACUUUUCAGCCAGUCUCCA